UAAUCCCCGAGGGACGACCGAUGGCGUAGGCAUCUUACCAGAACGGCUUCGACAGUGAGGGACGAAAGCUGGGGGAGCAAACCGGAUUAGAUACCCGGGUAGUCCCAGCCGUAAACGAUGUGCGUUAGGUGUGUCAGUGACCACGAGUCGCUGAGGUGCCGAAGGGAAACCGUGAAACGCACCGCCUGGGAAGUACGGUCGCAAGGCUGAAACUUAAAGGAAUUG
This 225-nucleotide ribosomal RNA is filed under the name uncultured Methanomicrobiales archaeon. Its description in RNAcentral is "partial 16S ribosomal RNA". It matches the Rfam family "Archaeal small subunit ribosomal RNA", at positions 643 to 867 of the family's 1478-position model. Lineage: Archaea; Methanobacteriati; Methanobacteriota; Methanomicrobia; Methanomicrobiales. The record is from RNAcentral.